AGCGAAACUCCGCUCAGCGCUCAGUUGGCUGAAUGCAGCUUCCACCAGCGAACGCCGGGUUUUUUCUUUUUGUUGCGCUCUAACACCCAUCACAAUGUCUGAAUCCUUCCAUAUGCCUUAUUCGGCAUCCAAGGCUAAAUACUCCUGACUGACCGAUAGUGAACCAGUACCGUGAGGGAAAGGCGAAAAGAACCCCGGCGAGGGGAGUGAAAAAGAACCUGAAACCGUGUACGUACAAGCAGUGGGAGCACCCU
This 254-nucleotide ribosomal RNA is filed under the name Salmonella enterica subsp. enterica serovar Montevideo. RNAcentral describes it as "partial 23S ribosomal RNA". It matches the Rfam family "Bacterial large subunit ribosomal RNA", at positions 425 to 585 of the family's 2925-position model. Lineage: Bacteria; Pseudomonadati; Pseudomonadota; Gammaproteobacteria; Enterobacterales; Enterobacteriaceae. The record is from RNAcentral.